Molecule: ribosomal RNA, 265 nt
Filed under: uncultured archaeon
Lineage: Archaea
Description: partial 16S ribosomal RNA
Rfam family: Archaeal small subunit ribosomal RNA
Source: RNAcentral
AGUCACUGACAUUAGACUCCCCCGUAGUCCCAGCCGUAAACUAUGCGCGUUAGGUGUAUCGGUGACCACGAGUCACCGAGGUGCCGAAGGGAAACCGUGAAACGUGCCGCCGUGGGAAGUACGGUCGCAAGGCUGAAACUUAAAGGAAUUGGCGGGGAGCACCACAACGGGUGGAGCCUGCGGUUUAAUUGGACUCAACGCCGGGAAGCUCACCGGAUAAGACAGCGGAAUGAUUGCCGGGCUGAAGACUCUGCAUGACUAGCUG